This 24-nucleotide unclassified non-coding RNA is filed under the name Mus musculus (house mouse). Its description in RNAcentral is "oocyte_clustered_small_RNA3860". The record is from RNAcentral. Lineage: Eukaryota; Metazoa; Chordata; Mammalia; Rodentia; Muridae.
AUGUCCCUGUUGAGGCAGUUUGGU